RNAcentral lists this ribosomal RNA (700 nucleotides) under Microbacterium sp. RNAcentral's name for it is "bacterial SSU rRNA". It matches the Rfam family "Bacterial small subunit ribosomal RNA", at positions 52 to 765 of the family's 1533-position model. The record is from RNAcentral. Lineage: Bacteria; Bacillati; Actinomycetota; Actinomycetes; Micrococcales; Microbacteriaceae.
UACCAUGCAGUCGAACGGUGAAGCAGAGCUUGCUCUGUGGAUCAGUGGCGAACGGGUGAGUAACACGUGAGCAACCUGCCCCUGACUCUGGGAUAAGCGCUGGAAACGGCGUCUAAUACUGGAUAUGUGACGUGACCGCAUGGUCUGCGUCUGGAAAGAAUUUCGGUUGGGGAUGGGCUCGCGGCCUAUCAGCUUGUUGGUGAGGUAAUGGCUCACCAAGGCGUCGACGGGUAGCCGGCCUGAGAGGGUGACCGGCCACACUGGGACUGAGACACGGCCCAGACUCCUACGGGAGGCAGCAGUGGGGAAUAUUGCACAAUGGGCGGAAGCCUGAUGCAGCAACGCCGCGUGAGGGAUGACGGCCUUCGGGUUGUAAACCUCUUUUAGCAGGGAAGAAGCGAAAGUGACGGUACCUGCAGAAAAAGCGCCGGCUAACUACGUGCCAGCAGCCGCGGUAAUACGUAGGGCGCAAGCGUUAUCCGGAAUUAUUGGGCGUAAAGAGCUCGUAGGCGGUUUGUCGCGUCUGCUGUGAAAUCCGGAGGCUCAACCUCCGGCCUGCAGUGGGUACGGGCAGACUAGAGUGCGGUAGGGGAGAUUGGAAUUCCUGGUGUAGCGGUGGAAUGCGCAGAUAUCAGGAGGAACACCGAUGGCGAAGGCAGAUCUCUGGGCCGUAACUGACGCUGAGGAGCGAAAGGGUGGG